RNAcentral lists this ribosomal RNA (844 nucleotides) under uncultured bacterium. Its description in RNAcentral is "bacterial SSU rRNA". It matches the Rfam family "Bacterial small subunit ribosomal RNA", at positions 8 to 859 of the family's 1533-position model. The record is from RNAcentral.
AGAGUUUGAUCAUGGCUCAGGAUGAACGCUAGCGGGAGGCUUAACACAUGCAAGUCGAGCGGUAUAAGUAGCAAUACUUAGAGAGCGGCGCACGGGUGAGUAACGCGUAUGCAACCUACCUUUUACAGGGGAAUAGCCCGGGGAAACCCGGAUUAAUACCCCAUAGUACUUAAUCAUCGCAUGAUGGUUUUGUUAAAGCUUCGGCGGUAAAAGAUGGGCAUGCGUGACAUUAGAUUGUUGGCGGGGUAACGGCCCACCAAGUCUGCGAUGUCUAGGGGUUCUGAGAGGAUGAUCCCCCACACUGGUACUGAGACACGGACCAGACUCCUACGGGAGGCAGCAGUGAGGAAUAUUGGUCAAUGGGGCGCAAGCCUGAACCAGCCAUCCCGCGUGAAGGAAGACUGCCCUAUGGGUUGUAAACUUCUUUUCUGUACCAAGAAUUGCCCCUACGUGUAGGGGAUUGACGGUAGUACAGGAAUAAGCAUCGGCUAACUCCGUGCCAGCAGCCGCGGUAAUACGGAGGAUGCGAGCGUUAUCCGGAUUUAUUGGGUUUAAAGGGUGCGUAGGCGGCUUUUUAAGUCAGUGGUGAAAUCCUGCGGCUCAACCGUAGAACUGCCAUUGAUACUGAAGAGCUUGAAUACAAUUGAGGUAGGCGGAAUGAGUAGUGUAGCGGUGAAAUGCUUAGAUAUUACUCAGCACACCGAUUGCGAAGGCAGCUUACCAAACUGAUAUUGACGCUGAGCACGAAGCGUGGGGAGCGAACAGGAUUAGAUACCCUGGUAGUCCACGCCGUAACGAUGUUCACUCGCUGUAUGCGAUACACAGUAUGCGGCCAGCGAAAGCA